This is a non-coding RNA of Fukomys damarensis (Damara mole-rat), 705 nucleotides long. NCBI's taxonomy places the organism in Eukaryota, Metazoa, Chordata, Mammalia, Rodentia, Bathyergidae. The record is from the annotation of a RefSeq genome assembly.
CCCUGGAUCCAGCUGCUCCAACUCGAUGAUGAGGACUAAACACAGACAGCUCACCAUGGAGCUGGCACUGAGCUGGGUUUUCCUUGUUGCUGUUUUAAAAGGUGUCCAGGCUGAGGUGCAGCUGGUGGAGUCCGGGGGAGGCUUGGUGCAGCCGGGGGGGUCCCUGAAACUCUCCUGUGUGACUUCAGGAUUCACCUUCAGUAACUACUGGAUGCACUGGGUCCGUCAGGCUCCAGGAAAAGGGAUGGAGUGGGUUGGGAGAAUUAAUGGGAAUAGUGGAACUAUAAACUACCCAGACUCUGUGAAGGGCCGAUUCACCAUCUCCAGAGACAACGCUAAGAACACGCUGUAUCUGCAAAUGAACAGCCUGAGAGCGGAGGACACGGCUGUGUAUUACUGUACAACACACAGUGAGAGGGCAUCCUUUCCAGUCCAAACACAAAACUCUCUGCAGGGGCGUUCAGGGCCAGCAGGGGCGCUAGAGAUGCGGAGAGAACCACGAGUAGAUUUAGAGGAAAGACCAGCAGGCCAUGCUCAGUUAAUCAGGGGACGCUCAGUCCCUCCAAAGGGAGCUGAGGACCACAGCAGAGCACUCAGCAUGAUCAGGAUGCCCAGGAGCCGGACCUUCCAGGGGCUCAAAACAGGAGAGGGGGCACUGGGGCCCCGGGGAGACUUCACCUGUGUUCUCCUUGCUGUUCAUCUCUG